RNAcentral lists this ribosomal RNA (987 nucleotides) under Triticum aestivum (bread wheat). Its description in RNAcentral is "partial small subunit ribosomal RNA". The record is from RNAcentral. Lineage: Eukaryota; Viridiplantae; Streptophyta; Magnoliopsida; Poales; Poaceae.
AUGGCAGCGGCUAGAAGAAGAAACCAUUGGAGGCUUGUCACUGCCCUCGUCCUGCUAGUGCUACUACUCGCCUCACCAUGCCGAUGCACAGGCGCUGCACCGGCGACGACGACGAACGCCACCACAGACGACGACUUGCGAGCUCUCCUCUCCUUCAAGGCCCUCAUCAACGGCGACCAGGAGGGGGCGCUCUCCUCGUGGGUGAACACCAGCGACCCCUGCGGUGGCUGGCGGGGCGUGGGGUGCCGCUCGCUCCGGCACCCUCGCCGCGUCACCAGCGUGGAGCUCACGUCCUCCGGCCUGUCCGGCACGGUGUCCCCCUACCUCGCCAACCUGACCUUCCUCCGCACGCUCAACCUGUCAGGCAACCUCCUCGCCGGCACCAUCCCACGGGAGCUCGGCUCCCUGCGUCGCCUCUCCGAGCUUGACCUUAGCGACAACAACCUGCAAGGUGAGAUCCCUUCGUCCCUCACGCGCUCCUCCAGACUUCGCGCACUACUUCUGGGGCGCAACAGCCUGGUGGGAGAGAUGCCCGCCAACUGGAGCCACUGUCGCCACCUCGAGGUCUUGGACGUUGGCGUCAACAACCUCACCGGCCAAGCUCAUCCACUGCUACUUGGCCUCGCCUCUCUCUCCAACCUCAAGAAGCUUCGCCUCUACACCAACAAUCUCGUGGGCACCAUCCCUUCCUCUCUUGGAAACCUUACAUCUCUAGUGAUUUUGAGCAUGGGUAGAAACAGAUUAGUAGGCGAGAUACCAGAAUCCUUUGGACAAAUGACCAAGUUGCGGUAUCUCCAUUUAGCCUUCAAUGAGCUCUCGGGCACCAUCCCGGCAUCCAUCUUUAACUUGUCUUCAAUCAGACAGAUCCAGCUGAGUCACAAUGAGUUGUCUGGUGUUAUCCCGAAUGAUGUUGGAUCUACUCUCCCAAACCUCGAGCUUUUGUUGCUCUAUCUUGCAAUUUCCAUGGAAGGAUUCCCGGCUCAUUAG